AUCACAUCAAAAUCAACCAUAUCUAGCAAAAUAAGAUCAACUCUAGUAUCAUAACCCUGGAUAGUCACUAAGCAAGAUCGCAAUACCUGAUCCACUACUAAGGACUCACCCACCGGGGUCGAAACAUGAAUCGGCUCUGCCAAAGACUCAGACCUCAUACCCAAUCGAGGAGCAAAAUAAAUAGAUACAUACGAGAAUGUGGACCCGGG
This 209-nucleotide long non-coding RNA is filed under the name Solanum tuberosum (potato). Its description in RNAcentral is "long non-coding RNA (STUB_LNC007969)". Lineage: Eukaryota; Viridiplantae; Streptophyta; Magnoliopsida; Solanales; Solanaceae. The record is from RNAcentral.